RNAcentral lists this long non-coding RNA (2269 nucleotides) under Octopus vulgaris (common octopus). The record is from RNAcentral. Lineage: Eukaryota; Metazoa; Mollusca; Cephalopoda; Octopoda; Octopodidae.
UAAUAAUAAUAGCAACAACAACAACAACAACAAUGAUAAUACUAAUAUUUUGCAGAAGAGUGAAAUUUCAAACGUAACUCUUGGCUGGUGAGGUGAAACUUUUAUUCCACCCUUAUAUUUUUUAUGAUUUUUUUCUAUAAUUAUUAUUAUUAUCAUUACUAUUGUUAUUAUCAUCGUCAUCAUCAUCAUCAUCAUUUUUAUUAUUAUCAUUCUAUGUUUGACUUUUGCUUUACAUUUGUACAAGUUGGCUCCAAGUCUCACCCAGAGACCUCAAGAGACAACAAGUCGGAAGUUCAUGUUAUUAUUAUUAUUAAUAUUAUUAUUAUUAUUAUUAUUAUUAUUAUUAUUAUUAUUAUUAUUAUCAUCAUCAUCAUUAUUAUUAUUAUUAUUAUUAUUAACAAUAAUAAUGAUGAUGAUGAUAAUUAUACUAAUAAUGAUUUGUUUUAUAGUAUUCCCAGUAAACAACAGACAUGUAAUAUGUAUGGCAAUGGCGUUACCUGAUGCUGGUGGUUGUCAUGGUAAAUUUAAUGAUGAUGACGAUGGCGAUGUUUAGGAGGAAGUAGAAUGAAGACAACGAUGAUGAUAAUAAUGAACAGCAAGCUAUAGGUCUCGAUAUAUAUAUUUAUAUUGUGGGAAUGUAUGUGUGUGUAUGUAUGCACCUAUAUAUAUAUAUAUAUAUAUAUAUAUAUAUAUAUAUAUAUUGAAUUUUUCCCUGUAAGUUUGGAGUUAUACUCCCUAAUAAUAUGUCAUAUAUAUAUAUAUAUAUGUAUGUAUAUAUAUAUAUAUAUAUAUAUGACAAAUAUACAUAUGCAUACGUGUGUGUGUGUGUGUGUGUGUGUGUGUGUGUGUGUGUGUGUGUGUGUGUGCGUGUGGGUGUGUAAAAUACAAGUAUAUAGUAUAGUGUUGAACAGAAAACAAGAUUAUACUCUGUCCUGUCAAACUAUCGCUUAUUAUAGAAAUCAGUGUGUUGGAUAGAUUGGAUAAAAAUACUUAUGAUACCGAAAGCUAAAACAGCAUUGAUGGAUGGAUGGAUGGGUGGAUGGAUAAUCAAUUGUGUACGUAUCUGGCGCCGAAAUCAUUAGCGUGUAUCUGAUCAUACAAGAGUUGAUAUAAGGGAAGCAACUCCGCUUGGUUAUGUGACUGUUUUGUUUUUUCUAUCUUUUGUAUUUUUGAUCUCACGCGUGUAAUGUCAGCGCACUAUGAAUGUAAAUCGAGAAGUCACUCACCAAAAUUGGUGAAUCAGAUCGAGGCUUAAUAACGGUAGAAUCAGUUUACAAAUUACACAACUUACUCGGAGUUAUCCGUAGUUUAAUCAGGCAUUGUUUAAAUUUCCAUUAUCUAAAUUAUCUGAAGACGGCGAACUGGCAGAAACGUCAUCACGCCAGGCAAAAUGCUUAGCAGUAUUUCGUCUUUCUUUACGUUCUGAGUUCAAAUUCCGCCGAGAUCGACUUUGCCUUUCCUCCUUUCGGGAUCGAUGAAUUAAGUACCAGUUGUGUACUGGGAUCGAACUAAUCGACUGGCCCCCUCCCCCAAAAUUUCGAGCCUUGUAUGCCUAGAGUAGAAAAGAUUAUCUUAUAUAUCUAAAUAGAAGAUCUGAAGUUUUUGUAGUGUCGACACUUUGACAAGUUCCUGCAUAAACUCUGAAAAUUAACACCGGAUUAAUCAAAUAGGUAUUAAACUAUCUGCUAAACGUAUUGCUUCACUAUUCUUCAACGUCUAAAUACUGAAAAUUUACAACACCCUCUUCAAAUUCAGACAAAAUUUUCCCUAUUAGCUAAAUUUGCUGAUUGGAUCCCGAUCUUAUUGAUCGGUUCCUGUUAACAAAGUCUCAUUCCUGCUCCUAAAACUUUCUCUUUAUUUACGUUUAAACAUUUCCUAUUAAUAAGCAGGCAUUUUACUCCAAUACUAACUUAAAAAGUCACAUAGCAAGACACAGUAAGACACAGUACUGCUCUAAGGAAGAACAGUUCAUGUAUACUUUUAACACUUCGGUGAUUUGUGUCCCUUAUAUCAACUCAUGCGUAAUCGGAUAAGCCUGACGUCGCACGUAAACAAGGAAAUACUGUACCGUUCGUUUAUAUCAGCGAUACAUCUUCAUGCAACAUGUAUUCUUUCAGGAAUAUGCAUAAAACUGCUAAACUAGGUUCAAUUAGAGGAAAUACCAUAUCAAUACAGGAAUAAGCAUUCUUCACAGUACAUCUGCUUUGGGCACAGGCUUUCAGUCACGUGGAAUUUCCUGACAUUAUAUACAAACACACACACUAACAGA